GAUGAACGCUGGCGGCGUGCUUAACACAUGCAAGUCGAGCGAAGCGCUAAAGCGGAUUUCUUCGGAUUGAAGUUUUAGUGACUGAGCGGCGGACGGGUGAGUAACGCGUGGGUAACCUGCCUCAUACAGGGGGAUAACAGUUGGAAACGGCUGCUAAUACCGCAUAAGCGCACAGUACCGCAUGGUACGGUGUGAAAAACUCCGGUGGUAUGAGAUGGACCCGCGUCUGAUUAGGUAGUUGGUGGGGUAACGGCCUACCAAGCCGACGAUCAGUAGCCGACCUGAGAGGGUGACCGGCCACAUUGGGACUGAGACACGGCCCAAACUCCUACGGGAGGCAGCAGUGGGGAAUAUUGCACAAUGGGGGAAACCCUGAUGCAGCGACGCCGCGUGAGCGAAGAAGUAUUUCGGUAU
Molecule: ribosomal RNA, 414 nt
Filed under: uncultured bacterium
Lineage: Bacteria
Description: bacterial SSU rRNA
Rfam family: Bacterial small subunit ribosomal RNA
Source: RNAcentral